This 382-nucleotide ribosomal RNA is filed under the name Bradyrhizobium japonicum. RNAcentral's name for it is "bacterial SSU rRNA". It matches the Rfam family "Bacterial small subunit ribosomal RNA", at positions 10 to 418 of the family's 1533-position model. The record is from RNAcentral. Lineage: Bacteria; Pseudomonadati; Pseudomonadota; Alphaproteobacteria; Hyphomicrobiales; Nitrobacteraceae.
AGUUUGAUCCUGGCUCAGAGCGAACGCUGGCGGCAGGCUUAACACAUGCAAGUCGAGCGGGCGUAGCAAUACGUCAGCGGCAGACGGGUGAGUAACGCGUGGGAACGUACCUUUUGGUUCGGAACAACACAGGGAAACUUGUGCUAAUACCGGAUAAGCCCUUACGGGGAAAGAUUUAUCGCCGAAAGAUCGGCCCGCGUCUGAUUAGCUAGUUGGUGAGGUAAUGGCUCACCAAGGCGACGAUCAGUAGCUGGUCUGAGAGGAUGAUCAGCCACAUUGGGACUGAGACACGGCCCAAACUCCUACGGGAGGCAGCAGUGGGGAAUAUUGGACAAUGGGGGCAACCCUGAUCCAGCCAUGCCGCGUGAGUGAUGAAGGCCCU